This 560-nucleotide ribosomal RNA is filed under the name Stenotrophomonas sp. C6-7. RNAcentral describes it as "bacterial SSU rRNA". It matches the Rfam family "Bacterial small subunit ribosomal RNA", at positions 137 to 692 of the family's 1533-position model. Lineage: Bacteria; Pseudomonadati; Pseudomonadota; Gammaproteobacteria; Lysobacterales; Lysobacteraceae. The record is from RNAcentral.
UGGGGGAUAACGUAGGGAAACUUACGCUAAUACCGCAUACGACCUACGGGUGAAAGCAGGGGANCUUCGGACCUUGCGCGAUUGAAUGAGCCGAUGUCGGAUUAGCUAGUUGGCGGGGUAAAGGCCCACCAAGGCGACGAUCCGUAGCUGGUCUGAGAGGAUGAUCAGCCACACUGGAACUGAGACACGGUCCAGACUCCUACGGGAGGCAGCAGUGGGGAAUAUUGGACAAUGGGCGCAAGCCUGAUCCAGCCAUACCGCGUGGGUGAAGAAGGCCUUCGGGUUGUAAAGCCCUUUUGUUGGGAAAGAAAUCCAGCCGGCUAAUACCUGGUUGGGAUGACGGUACCCAAAGAAUAAGCACCGGCUAACUUCGUGCCAGCAGCCGCGGUAAUACGAAGGGUGCAAGCGUUACUCGGAAUUACUGGGCGUAAAGCGUGCGUAGGUGGUUGUUUAAGUCUGUUGUGAAAGCCCUGGGCUCAACCUGGGAACUGCAGUGGAAACUGGACAACUAGAGUGUGGUAGAGGGUAGCGGAAUUCCCGGUGUAGCAGUGAAAUGCGUA